This 2918-nucleotide ribosomal RNA is filed under the name Bacillus anthracis (anthrax bacterium). RNAcentral's name for it is "bacterial LSU rRNA". It matches the Rfam family "Bacterial large subunit ribosomal RNA". The record is from RNAcentral. Lineage: Bacteria; Bacillati; Bacillota; Bacilli; Caryophanales; Bacillaceae.
UAAGUUAGAAAGGGCGCACGGUGGAUGCCUUGACACUAGGAGUCGAUGAAGGACGGGACUAACGCCGAUAUGCUUCGGGGAGCUGUAAGUAAGCUUUGAUCCGAAGAUUUCCGAAUGGGGAAACCCACCAUACGUAAUGGUAUGGUAUCCUUAUCUGAAUACAUAGGGUAAGGAAGACAGACCCAGGGAACUGAAACAUCUAAGUACCUGGAGGAAGAGAAAGCAAAUGCGAUUUCCUGAGUAGCGGCGAGCGAAACGGAACAUAGCCCAAACCAAGAGGCUUGCCUCUUGGGGUUGUAGGACAUUCUAUACGGAGUUACAAAGGAACGAGGUAGACGAAGCGACCUGGAAAGGUCCGUCGUAGAGGGUAACAACCCCGUAGUCGAAACUUCGUUCUCUCUUGAAUGUAUCCUGAGUACGGCGGAACACGUGAAAUUCCGUCGGAAUCUGGGAGGACCAUCUCCCAAGGCUAAAUACUCCCUAGUGAUCGAUAGUGAACCAGUACCGUGAGGGAAAGGUGAAAAGCACCCCGGAAGGGGAGUGAAAGAGAUCCUGAAACCGUGUGCCUACAAAUAGUCAGAGCCCGUUAACGGGUGAUGGCGUGCCUUUUGUAGAAUGAACCGGCGAGUUACGAUCCCGUGCGAGGUUAAGCUGAAGAGGCGGAGCCGCAGCGAAAGCGAGUCUGAAUAGGGCGUUUAGUACGUGGUCGUAGACCCGAAACCAGGUGAUCUACCCAUGUCCAGGGUGAAGUUCAGGUAACACUGAAUGGAGGCCCGAACCCACGCACGUUGAAAAGUGCGGGGAUGAGGUGUGGGUAGCGGAGAAAUUCCAAUCGAACCUGGAGAUAGCUGGUUCUCCCCGAAAUAGCUUUAGGGCUAGCCUUAAGUGUAAGAGUCUUGGAGGUAGAGCACUGAUUGGACUAGGGGUCCUCAUCGGAUUACCGAAUUCAGUCAAACUCCGAAUGCCAAUGACUUAUCCUUAGGAGUCAGACUGCGAGUGAUAAGAUCCGUAGUCAAAAGGGAAACAGCCCAGACCGCCAGCUAAGGUCCCAAAGUGUGUAUUAAGUGGAAAAGGAUGUGGAGUUGCUUAGACAACUAGGAUGUUGGCUUAGAAGCAGCCACCAUUUAAAGAGUGCGUAAUAGCUCACUAGUCGAGUGACUCUGCGCCGAAAAUGUACCGGGGCUAAAUACACCACCGAAGCUGCGGAUUGAUACCAAUGGUAUCAGUGGUAGGGGAGCGUUCUAAGGACAGUGAAGUCAGACCGGAAGGACUGGUGGAGUGCUUAGAAGUGAGAAUGCCGGUAUGAGUAGCGAAAGACGGGUGAGAAUCCCGUCCACCGAAUGCCUAAGGUUUCCUGAGGAAGGCUCGUCCGCUCAGGGUUAGUCAGGACCUAAGCCGAGGCCGACAGGCGUAGGCGAUGGACAACAGGUUGAUAUUCCUGUACCACCUCUUUAUCGUUUGAGCAAUGGAGGGACGCAGAAGGAUAGAAGAAGCGUGCGAUUGGUUGUGCACGUCCAAGCAGUUAGGCUGAUAAGUAGGCAAAUCCGCUUAUCGUGAAGGCUGAGCUGUGAUGGGGAAGCUCCUUAUGGAGCGAAGUCUUUGAUUCCCCGCUGCCAAGAAAAGCUUCUAGCGAGAUAAAAGGUGCCUGUACCGCAAACCGACACAGGUAGGCGAGGAGAGAAUCCUAAGGUGUGCGAGAGAACUCUGGUUAAGGAACUCGGCAAAAUGACCCCGUAACUUCGGGAGAAGGGGUGCUUUCUUAACGGAAAGCCGCAGUGAAUAGGCCCAAGCGACUGUUUAGCAAAAACACAGCUCUCUGCGAAGCCGUAAGGCGAAGUAUAGGGGGUGACACCUGCCCGGUGCUGGAAGGUUAAGGAGAGGGGUUAGCGUAAGCGAAGCUCUGAACUGAAGCCCCAGUAAACGGCGGCCGUAACUAUAACGGUCCUAAGGUAGCGAAAUUCCUUGUCGGGUAAGUUCCGACCCGCACGAAAGGUGUAACGAUUUGGGCACUGUCUCAACCAGAGACUCGGUGAAAUUAUAGUACCUGUGAAGAUGCAGGUUACCCGCGACAGGACGGAAAGACCCCGUGGAGCUUUACUGUAGCCUGAUAUUGAAUUUUGGUACAGUUUGUACAGGAUAGGCGGGAGCCUUUGAAACCGGAGCGCUAGCUUCGGUGGAGGCGCUGGUGGGAUACCGCCCUGACUGUAUUGAAAUUCUAACCUACGGGUCUUAUCGACCCGGGAGACAGUGUCAGGUGGGCAGUUUGACUGGGGCGGUCGCCUCCUAAAGUGUAACGGAGGCGCCCAAAGGUUCCCUCAGAAUGGUUGGAAAUCAUUCGUAGAGUGCAAAGGCAUAAGGGAGCUUGACUGCGAGACCUACAAGUCGAGCAGGGACGAAAGUCGGGCUUAGUGAUCCGGUGGUUCCGCAUGGAAGGGCCAUCGCUCAACGGAUAAAAGCUACCCCGGGGAUAACAGGCUUAUCUCCCCCAAGAGUCCACAUCGACGGGGAGGUUUGGCACCUCGAUGUCGGCUCAUCGCAUCCUGGGGGGGUAGUCGGUCCCAAGGGUUGGGCUGUUCGCCCAUUAAAGCGGUACGCGAGCUGGGUUCAGAACGUCGUGAGACAGUUCGGUCCCUAUCCGUCGUGGGCGUAGGAAAUUUGAGAGGAGCUGUCCUUAGUACGAGAGGACCGGGAUGGACGCACCGCUGGUGUACCAGUUGUUCUGCCAAGGGCAUAGCUGGGUAGCUAUGUGCGGAAGGGAUAAGUGCUGAAAGCAUCUAAGCAUGAAGCCCCCCUCAAGAUGAGAUUUCCCAUAGCGUAAGCUAGUAAGAUCCCUGAAAGAUGAUCAGGUUGAUAGGUUCGAGGUGGAAGCAUGGUGACAUGUGGAGCUGACGAAUACUAAUAGAUCGAGGACUUAACCA